This 253-nucleotide ribosomal RNA is filed under the name uncultured bacterium. RNAcentral's name for it is "partial 16S ribosomal RNA". It matches the Rfam family "Bacterial small subunit ribosomal RNA", at positions 524 to 776 of the family's 1533-position model. The record is from RNAcentral.
UACGUAGGUGGCGAGCGUUGUCCGGAUUUACUGGGCGUAAAGCGCGCGCAGGCGGAUCCGUCAGUCCGGGGUGAAAGCUCACGGCUUAACUGUGAGAGGUCCCCGGAUACUGCGGGUCUUGAGGCACCUAGAGGAGAGUGGAAUUCCCGGUGUAGUGGUGGAAUGCGUAGAUAUCGGGAGGAACACCAGUGGCGAAAGCGGCUCUCUGGGGGUGUCCUGACGCUGAGGCGCGAAAGCGUGGGGAGCGAACCGG